RNAcentral lists this long non-coding RNA (1653 nucleotides) under Homo sapiens (human). RNAcentral's name for it is "long independently transcribed non-coding RNA 2777, transcript variant 1 (LINC02777)". Lineage: Eukaryota; Metazoa; Chordata; Mammalia; Primates; Hominidae. The record is from RNAcentral.
GCCCCGAGCCCGACAGCCGCAUAAAGCCUGCUGCUUUCACUGGCCCGGUGGGGGCCAGCAGGGUCAGGGCCCGCGGAAACCCUCAGCCUGGCGGGCCGGGAGGCCGCGGUGCUGCACUGGCUCGGCGCGCUCCCCGAGUGGCGCUCAGGCGGGGCGCGUUCAUUUCAUCUACAGACUGUCGGGAAGGCUUCCCGAACUCCUCCUCCCUGCCCGCCUUUGCGCAGGGCCGGACUCUUCGGAAACUGAAAUCACGGGCCGCCCGGCCCCCACCAGUCCUCGUGGGAUCCGGCCCGGGUUAACCUUCUAUGGGGAGGCCCAGGAGGGCCGGGCGGAGCGCCGGGGCGGGCGUGCGCUGACGUGGCGAGCGGCUCCCUCCACCCGCUCCUCCCGCGGGCACUGCCGAGGCCCAUGGGCGGGAAGCCGGGCGGCGGGCGGGACGUGGCCUCGGUCCCGGCCCUGCCCCGCCCCGCCGCCACUGAGACUCCCAGCGCCACCAACGUCGGAGUUGCAGUUUCUUUAGCUGUCAUAUGCAGACAAGUACUACCCACCUCGCCUUUGGAGUGAGCAGCAUCCCUGUGCCCAUCCUGCUGUGAUUCAGGAGUCUCGCAGAAGACAUCAGAAUGCCUUUCUCUGAGUCACAGUCUGUAUCUUCUAGAAAAGGCUGUCCAUCUUCACCCCAAGCCCACUGGCUCCUGAGAUACGACAUCCAGACCCAGUGCAGCUGGACCUGGCCCAGGAAGAUCAUGCGGUUUCUGGGAAGCACUGGAGAAGGAAAAGGCUGAAGAAAGGAAGACCGGAAAAGAAAUACAAGUCCUUCCGCCUUGGCAAAGAUGAUAGUACCGUUCCCUUCAGUGUUCCGGUUCUGCUCUAUUGGAUAAGUUCCGGUUUGACUAUGACUACGUGAAAAUGUGGAACCAGACCUUCACCCCACAUUCCAGCUCCAGCUCUACCACAGAGGAAGUGCAAUAUCACCUUAGUUAUUCAACACAUUAUGCUCCUCGUGAUACAACCAGAGUUCACAUCAGCAAUCUUGGCAGCUCUCACCACGCUGCUGACUCACGACUCUCUCAUGUCCCAAUUUCCUGUCCAUUGUUCUUUCCUCUACUUGGCCUGAUUUCUAAAGGCCUCUCUUGGUUGCAUUAAGCGGGAUUCCUGAGGGAUUCCCUUGGCAGUUACCUUGGGGGAGCUCUUAGGUUUGGGGCUGAUCCAUGUCCUCUAAAUGUAGGACUUCAAAGCUCCCAAAGAUAGGCAGGCCCAGUGGGAAGCUGGGAAAUGCUCUCUGACCCCUCUGGGAGGGCUGGCAGUCAGAGGGCCUUUUGGAAAGAGUCAGACCUGAUCCAUAAGUCCCUGGAAAACACCCUGCCCAGGGAGCAAAUGCCACUGUGGCCUUGACUGAGGCUUCAGAAGAGUUUGGGAGCUGCAAUUCAUCCACACACGCAUUCAUUUUCAAGUAGUGGUUUGCAGUUCAGGCUUUGGAGCCACAUAAGCCUGGCUUCAAAGCCACUUUCCAGCUUUGUAGGAAGUCUCUACAUUUUUAAACCUCCAUUUUUUUUUCCUGUAAAACUGGGGUCUUCAUGGUACUUAACUUCAUCGUGAUGUUGAGAGAAUGAAAAGAAAAAGGAUAAAUAAAUGGCUUAGCCUCGUGCCUUGGCA